Molecule: non-coding RNA, 4342 nt
Organism: Podarcis lilfordi (Lilford's wall lizard)
Lineage: Eukaryota; Metazoa; Chordata; Lepidosauria; Squamata; Lacertidae
Source: the annotation of a GenBank genome assembly
GUUACAAGAGUCUGGCUGUACGGCUUGGUUGUAUAUACCUUGGCUGCAUGGUUGACCUGCAGCUAUAAUAUUAUGCCUAAUCACGUCAUCAGCUACUGGGAUGUUCCUGGGUGUGUUUAAAAAGGUGGCCUCAUUUUCCAUGGGAGGAGCCUCCAAGUUUCGUGUCAGAGGCAAACUGCAAGGUCAGCUGGGGGACACCAAGUAGGUAAGGUCAAUCAUUUGUUUUAUUGGCUUGCAUUGUAUUUAUUCACCUUUCUCUUUCUCACAUAGUGGUUAGUCAUAGUAAUAAAAAUAGUCCCAAAACUGUUAGCAUAAUUCAGAGGCAGGUGCUGGUUGGUCCAGCAAUAAAAGUUAACUGCUGACAAUAAAGGCAUACUUGCCAUAAAGCUACAAAAGAAUAAUAAUAAUUUACAGUGGUACCUUGGUUUAUGAACUUAAUCCAUUCUGCGAGUCCAUUCUUAAACUGAAACCAUUCUUAAACUGAGGCACGCUUUCCCUAACGAGGCCUCCCACCGCCGAUGCCCGUCCACCAUUCAGAUUCUGUUCUUAGACUGAGGUAAAGUUUGCAAACCAGGACACUACUUCCGGUUUUGCAGAGUUCAUAAACCGAAUAGUUCGUAAACAGGACUGUUCUUAAACCGGGAUACCACUGUAUUACUUAUUUUAUCUUAUUACUUAACCCAUCUGGCUGGGUUGCUGCAGCCACUCUGGACAGCUUCCAAAACACAGCAAAACAUCAAACAUUAAAAAUUUCCCAAUAUAGGGCUGCGUUCAGAUGUCUUUGGAAGGUUGUGUCAUUGUAUAUCUGUUUGACAUCUGGUGGAAGGGCGUUCCACAGGGUGGGCACCACUACUGAGAAGGCCCUUUGCAUGGUUCCCUGUAACUUCAUUUCUCAUAGUGAGGGAACUGCCAGAAGGCCCUCAGAGCUGGACACAGAGUGUCCGGGCUGAACGAUGGAGGUGGAGAGGUAUGCUGGGCAGAGGCCAUUUAGGGCUUUAAAGGUCAGCACCAACACGGUACUUGGAAACAUACUGGGCAAGGUGUUCUCAGUAGCUGCCCCAGCAUGAGUGCACAUAACUCCUUCUCCUCGCCACCAUUGUUGCUGUCUCUUUGCUUCUCAUCUCUCCCUGGGGCCAGUCUACACUACCUUCCAGAAAGAGAGGGCAAUCAGGCUGCUGAUUUCUCCUUGCUCAUUCACUCGGAGAGGACAACUGAAUAGGCAACAAUAGCAAGAACAGGAAGUUGCAGAGCUAGGAGGCUCUGGGAAUUGGCAAUGGGUCCCUGACUGGGUCAAGGGCCUUGGCAGCAGCUUGGCAAUGCCAUCUCCUGGUGCUGGAGUUCCCACAGGAACUCAUUUCCAGAGGAGGCAGUGAUGACCACCAACCUAGAAGGCUUUAAAAGAAGAUUAGACAAAUCCAUGGAAGAGAAGAUGGCUACAAACCUUGAUGGCUAUGCUCUGCCUCCACUGCUGGAAGCAGCAAUUCUUCUGAAGAAAAGUUGCUGGAAACGACAGGAGGGCAGAGUGCUCUUCUGCUCAAAUCCUUAUUGUGGGUUUCCCACAGACCACUGUGAGAACAGGAUGCUGGACUAGGUGGGCCAUUGGCCUGAUCCAGCAGGCUAUUCUUGCAUCUUUAUGGCUCUGUGUUUGAGGUACUAAUGGAAGCUCAAACAACAGUUUGAAAAGUUUGCAACCUUCCUAGUGCCUAAGGGACCGCACUUUCGGGAACUUUGUCUAGUACAUGUUGGGGGUCUAUAUCCACUGCUUUUUCGGGGGUGAAAGCAGAGUACACAUACCCCUAAACAUUUUGCGAAUCUUUGUACUUUUGUCCAUUUACUGUAUUUAUUUUUCCUGAUUUGAACUAUAAAAUGGCGAUUUUCUUGAGUCAAAAUGAGAGUAAGUACCCCUAAACUUUUUUUUAAAAAAGCACUGUGUGUUUCAAUUGAUUUGUUAAAUCACUUUCCUGUAUCCUUGAGGAAGUGGAAAUAAAUAGAAAUAAAUAAAUACUUCUCAAAUUAUGGAGCAAACAGAGGUGAAAUCAGGUGAGCUUUUCACAUGCCACAUUCAGAUUGCCCUGUUAACAAGGCAUCUUGAAUUGGAUCAAGGAUUGCCUUAAUGCCCUACGCUGCUCUGUGGACUCAUGCACCCCACAAAUGCUGCAUAUCCAAAAGCAACCACUGCAUAUUUUAAAAAGCAAAAUGAAGAUGGUUCUGGAAAUGAGCUUAAGAGGGAAGGGAGUGAAGAGGUGAAAAGAUCUUCCACUUUGAUGGACAGGUGUAGCUUUUAAUCACAAUGAAUGGCUUCCCCAGAGCAAUCCAAUCACAAGGAUUUGGGGAAAGGAUGUUGAAGUAAGUAUUUAAGUGUUAAGAAACACUUUUUAAUAUUUACUUCAGCGUCCCUUCCCCGCAAUAAUGUUCAACCACUACCACCACCUCCUCCUCCCACUAUUCAAGUCAAUGGAAAGAUAUCUCUCUCUCUGGAGCUUAUGGUAACAAUAUCCUUGUUCAGAAUGACAUGUACCCCAUCCAAGUCUUUCCUGGGGAUAUGUUGACCAAACAAUGCUUUCUUAUUGCAUCAAUGAACACAUUAACCAAUAGCACUUGGGUACAAGAGAUAAGGUAAAACACAAAUAGAUUGAUAUGAAACGGAACAAUAUUUUAAUGGUUUUGGAAAGAUAUAGUAAGACGCCAUUCUCCCCCUCCCUUUAUAUAAAUAUUGAAUUAGUGCUGCACUGAUGUUUAGUUUUGGGGUUUGUAUUCUCAAAAUUGGCUUUCCUGUUGCUGUCUGUCUUGCUGAAUAGCAGUUAUUGUGGAAAUUUUUUUUGGGGGGGGGAAUAUGUGAAGGCUCUUGCAAUUAUUAUCUUUGUUUUCAAAAGACUGGAAAGGACACAAAGCAAGUUUGCUUUAAAGGCAGAGGCCUGCAUGUGCCAUAGUAAGCAGUUUUUAUCCAGAGUCUGUACAAUAAGUAUCCAUUCCAUGGUUUGUGCAGCUGCUUCAGAUACACUCUCCUCUGCCAUCAGCACCACCAUGUAACAGAGCACACAUCACCGCUUGAAGUCAGGGAUCUGCCAGAAAAAUCAAGGUGUUGCAUUAUUUGCACGCUUAGAUUCACGUGUUCAUGUUAGGCAUUCCCUCCUUGUGAAUUCCAGUGCAAAUCAACCCAAUUUGCUAAUGCACUCAUGUGAACACAAUGAGCCAGCCUUCAUACUACUCUAAGCUUUGCACCAGCAUUCUCAGCUCCAAAAAUUAUUCCAAAAUAUAUUUUAAACGCAUAUUUUAGGAUAAAAUUCAUUUACACACACACUUUGAGAUAAAAUCAUGUUAUCAAUUUUGUGCUGGGGUCAGUCUCCCCGCAUUCCUAAAUUUAGUAAAUAGUAGAAUUUAGCUAAUAUUUGGAGGGAAAAUGCCAGAUCAGUGAAAAAUACAGGCUGAACCUGGUGCUGUGGUCUAAACCACUGAGCCUCUUGGGCUUGCUGAUCAGAAGGUUGGCGGUUCGAAUCCCUGAGAUGGGGUGAGCUCCUGUUGUUCUGUGCCGGCUUCUGCCAACCUAGCAGUUCGAAAGCACAUCAGUGCAAGUAGAUAAAUAGGUACCACUGCAGCAGGAAGGCAAACAGUGUUUCUGUGCGCUCUGGUUUCUGUCAUGCUGUUCCAUUGCACCAGAAGUGGUUUAGUCCUACUGGCCACAUGACCUGGAAAGCUGUCUGUGGACAAAUGCCAGUUCCCUCAACCUGAAAGUGAGAUGAGUGCCGCAACCCAACAACAACAACAACAACAAUAAUAAUAGCAAUAAUAAUAAUUUAUUGUUUAUACCCCGCCCAUCUGGCUGAGUCUCCCCAGCCACCCUGGGUGGCUUCCAAUCAAGUGUUAAAACAAUACAGCAUCAAAUAUUAAAAACUUCCCUAAACAGGGCUGCCUUUGACUGGACUUAACCAUCCAGGGGUCCUUUACCUUUACCUUUUACCUUGCAGGCUGAACCAGUUAUCCUGUUCAGGAGAUUGUUGACAGUGGCACCAUUAAGAACACAAAGAACGCCAAGUACUGGGCUAUUAAGAACAAUUGACCAUGCUGAAGCUGUUCUUCCCUUGGCUGAAAAGUGGACAGAAAUAACAGAAAUGAGAGGGGCAGGUUGCCUGGGGUAAGACCACAGGAAAAAAGGUGCCCUUUUAAAACAGAGGUUUUGGAGCAGCGUCUUUUGGGAAGAAGGAGGGAUCGGUCAGGACUCCAUGUGGCGCUGGCUGCACACAGAGACUGGGGAGCCCAGCUGGCUGCUGCUUUGCACCCAAACUUGCUGAAGCUCUGAGACAAGCAACAAGAGGCACUCAUGGGGUGUAACUUUCUGCACGCC